This 565-nucleotide ribosomal RNA is filed under the name uncultured bacterium. Its description in RNAcentral is "bacterial LSU rRNA". It matches the Rfam family "Bacterial large subunit ribosomal RNA", at positions 1524 to 2093 of the family's 2925-position model. The record is from RNAcentral.
GUUGAGAUUGGUAGGUAAUCCGCCAGUUGAGCUGAGGUGGGAGCGGGCCGUAAGGCGAAGUGGCUGAGCCUUGUUGCCAAGAAAAGUACUCUAAGCAUAACUCUCUAGUGCUCGUACCGCAAACCGACACUGGUAGACGGGUAGAAUAUACCAAGGCGAACGGGAGAACCCUCGUUAAGGAAUUAGGCAACAUGACCCCGUAACUUCGGGAGAAGGGGUACCCUCCUUAGUGUUAAAGCUUCGGAGGGUCGCAGUGAAAUGGCUCUGGUGACUGGUUAACAAAACCACAGGUCUCUGCUAAGCCGUAAGGCGAUGUAUAGGGGCUGACGCGUGCCCAGUGCCGGAAGGUUAAAGGGAGAGGUUAGCGCAAGCGAAGCUUUGAACUGAAGCCCCGGUGAACGGCGGCCGUAACUAUAACGGUCCUAAGGUAGCGAAAUUCCUUGUCGGGUAAGUUCCGACCCGCACGAAUCGCGUAACAAUUAGAGCACUGUCUCGACGAGGGACCCGGUGAAAUUGAAAUGGCUGUGAAGAUGCGGCCUACCCGCAGCAGGACAAAAAGACCCCG